Molecule: long non-coding RNA, 793 nt
Organism: Phycodurus eques (leafy seadragon)
Lineage: Eukaryota; Metazoa; Chordata; Actinopteri; Syngnathiformes; Syngnathidae
Exons: 3
Source: RefSeq, a predicted model, not a curated record
GACAUUGCAAUUGCCAAAAACAGCGCUACACACUAUAUGCAAUGGCGAGCAACGUGUUGGAAUAUGUGGAGGAGGAGGAUUUCGACAUACAGGAGCACUGAACUGAACUUGGCAUCGUCAAAACAUACAUGUUUGAGCCGAUCAGACAGUGACGACGACAAGCAGCCAAGUAGUAGCUGUACAACAAAAAAAGAGAGUGGCCACUGGCUCGAUGUGACGAUGAACCGGAGCGGAGAAGCCAGACUCACAUGAAUAUGUAGUGCUAAAGAGAAGGAGGGUGUUUACUGCUCGAGUGGCAAGGGAAGGAUAUUCAGUCAUCACAGCUCCGCACCUGAACAGGAUGUUUGCCAGGGACGUGUGGAAGGAGGAGGAAAUGGUGCCGAUGAUUUAAAAAAUAAGACUAUGUCAUCCAUGUCUUUAUGGCUCUUGCUUUGUGUUGGAAGAGGAAGGGGCCAGCUCCUAACUGUUCCUACAAAGUUGGGAGCAUGGAAUUGUCCAAAAUCUUCUGGUAUGCUGAAGCAUUCAGAGUUCCUUCCACUGGAACUAAGGAACCAUUUGCACAAUGGUCACUGCACCAGACUAUUGUUCUAUUAGUCAUUUCAAACUGCUCUAAAUUGCUAGAGGACUUGGCUUAAUUGUCAAAAGAAAUGUUUAAAAAAUAUCGGCAUUACCACAUUACUGGUAACCUUUUAUUGCUCAGUGACUGUGUUUUUGUUUUUAUCUCUCAAAAGUAUUCACUGUCAAUUGACUGCCUGUUGUUGUACUAGAGCGGCUCCAACUACCAGAGACAAAU